AGGGAGGGAGACGGGACUUGGACAUUCUUACGAUUUCAGCUGAAACUUUCCGGGUCUUGGGGAGGAGUUAUUUUUCUUAACCCUCUCAAUAAAAGUUAAAUAUCUGAAUAGCUACCGUCAGUGCCAGAGACAAUCCAUCUUUUUUCUGACUAUAACAAGAAGAUCUAUAUUUUCAUGGAGACCAGAGAAGGAGAAAAAAGACACAAUAAGAAUAACUGACAUCAAUUUUCUGAAAGCUGUUCAGAAGAAGAGAAUAAGCAUUAGUAUCAGAGGAAGUCCGAGCAGAAAUGGUCAGCACUAUGCCUGGGUUUACCUGAGAGUCUGGAGCAUAUACUGUUAGAUUGUAACUACCACCAAGCAGACUGAAAAGCACACCAAGAAUGUUUCAAUUUCAAAUGAAGAACAUGAUCAGAAACAACUAUCUGUAGCCCAUGGAUGCGGUAGUACAGAUGCUGAAGAGAAACAAGCCCUGAAAAGAUUGUUCUGAUUCCUACCAGCAUGAUCUCGGAGUGCUUUGGAGGCAGUUGCUCAGAAAAGUGACUUGCAAGUAUAAAGAUGGGAGAGAGAAGACGAGGAAAUACUUUUGUAAGAAAUCCUACCAAUCCUAAAAGGACUGUGGCAAAGUUUCCUUGAAAUUCCUCUGUCUGAGAACUGGAGUCCUGGUUUGGGCAGCUUACUGCUGAGCCACGUUUGCUGUGUCUUAGAGAGAGAGCUGGAGAGUGAUAGCGUGAUUUGUUCCAGCUAUGUGGCACUGCUGCUGUUGCUGCAACAGGAUUCCUUCAUCAUUACGUGUCUUCUCUCAGGCUCCAUAGGCAGUUCAGCUCUCAGAAUCUAUGCUUAAAGUUAUGAGGUCUCAUAAAAAAAAAAAAGGAGAAAAGCCUCCUUCUGCCCUUCCCCCCUCCUAGUCUGAAGAGAAAAUAUUUGCAGUAGCCACACAAUUCCCAUUGGGCAGGCAGGAUACUGUUGCAUUAAAUUAAGCAGAAAGCAGUCUCUGCCUGUCCCCAUGAUGGGCUGCAAGAGCUGCGAUGCUGUGUGUGAUACCCAGAAGGCACACAGCCAGCUCUGUGUCUGUUUGACCUGGGAAGUGAAGUUCCCUCAGGGCCUGGGAAGAAUUGGGUUCUGGGGACGAUUCACAGCUCACAGCAGGAUGAGUGGGGGAUUCCUGCUCUGGUUCAUGGAGGAAGAGCUGGAGAAAAGCUUGCCUGAUUUUUUUUUUUUUUCCCCUCUCUCUCCCAUAUAGUAGCAGGAUCCAUAGACUGAAAUUCCAUCCUGGAUUUAACCUCCUGUAUCUGUCUCCUUGGGACUGAGCAGUUGACUUGUCUUUUUUUUGUUGGCAUGAGAGUUGCUGAUGGAUGUGCAGAUUAACUCUUGCCAUUCCUGCCUAUUCCUGGGGCAGUGGUGAUGCCUGAGAAGGGCUGGCCUAUGUUUUGUCAUAUGUUAUACAUGUGUACAAGCAGCGACAUGUUUUAAUCUGUGUAUAUUAAAGAUGAACCAAACACAAAAUAUAAAUUUGUGAAAAAUGAAUAGUUUCUCUCUAUGCUAUAGUUUGGUGAAAAGCUUUAAAUGAACACAUACUGAACUAACCGUAUCAUAAAUCUACAGGAGCUGAUGUUUUCAUAGAACAGUGAGAUACUUGUAGAGCAAUCAUCUCUUUCUACAAUUUUUUUUCAAAAAGAAGGAAGAAUAUAUUAUUUUUUUUCUCUGCAAAUGCUUUUGGCAGGUAGGACUGAUUUAAAAAUACCAAUCUAUUAUUCCUCUCAUUCUAGUUAAUAUUUAAAUUUUAGUUCAGUAAUAACUGAUUGUUAUAUGUUUGCUUUGUAAUUAGCUGCUUCCACACUACUGUAAGAUUCCAAGAAAACACAAAAAUACACCACAGAAUGUCUUUAUGGAUGACCAAAUUAAAAAUUGUAAGUUAUGAAACCAACUAAGAUCUAAAAUUUAUUCAUUUAAUUAAAAAAAAAAAAAAAAAGAAAAAGAAAAAAAAGAGUGAGUUUUCCAGUCUCUCUUGUUUGUUUUACAGAUGAUACUAGGAAAAACUGAUACAACAUGUUACUACUUUCGCCUCUAUGUGCCCAUAUAAGCUAUCCGGAUAAGUGGUAUGAAUGAGCUUUACUGCUUUUAGUGAGCUAGUCUUUACAGAGUUUCUCUUGUUGUGGGGAGGAGUGAAACAGUUCAGAUAAAUUACAAUGUGAGUGCCUUACUGUUUCUGCAGUACCUAUAUAUUCUCUUUAUGUGGUGCUGCUCCUUUUCAUGUGGUAUCUGUAUCUGCGUAUUUACAGUAUGAAGUAUGGUAAGUUUAGUAGAUUUUAAAAACAAACUAUCUGAAGGAACCAGUGCUGUUCCUACUUACGGUACAGUUGCAUCUGGUGGACUGAACUUGUUUGACACCUCAACAGCUGCCAAAAAGGUGGUUCCAUUCCCAUGUGGUUCUGGCUGUGCAGUCCUUCUUUUGCCAGGUUGAGGUCUCAUCUAAUUCUUUGUGGAACCAGCUCUGCUCACUAAAACAGCUGAACACCUCUGAUUUUUACUUUUGUACUUGUUUUCUGGCAGUUCAGAAAGCUGAAUUGCCUCACAAAGAAGUCAGACAAACUUUGGUCUGUAAAACUGCCCCUUUCAAGCUCCAAGAUCUCAGCUUCAGUCAGUUCACCAUGUAAGUCUUCAUCCUUGAUAUGUGGCCUAAUUUGCAUUCACAAAAAUCAGACUACCAAAUUAUUAAAUCAUAGUCUGGGAUUUCUUACUGGAAUUACUAUUUACAAAUGAUCGCCAUUUAAUUUUACAUAUCCAAAGUCUAAUACUGAAUGUGUCACCUUCCUAUCCCUUUGUUACUUCUGUUAUAUUAAAAUUAACCAAAGCCAACCUCUAUUAAGAGCUUAUCUUUUGAAAAAAAAUAUCCUGUUGAGAACUUUUCCUUUCCAUUCUUUCCAAGCAUAGUAUCUCUUCCCAGUUCUUUCUAGGUCAGCUGGAAAUUUCUCUUGCCCAGUGUUGACUAGUUUUCAGUCCCUCUUUUGACUUCUUCCUAGACGUAGAGAAAUGCAGUUGCAAACAAAGAAACAAAAACCAAAGAGAAGAUGCUGAAAGGGCUUAGCUGCAGUUUAGGUGCAGAGAACAGACAUUUGGGUGUGAGCUGCCUUGUGCCUCUUGCCCACAGACCCAGGCAAUAGAUCUUGCCCAUUAUAUCAAAUAGUAUGGAUGUUACUAGAGACAACUACUAAUAAACACAGGACACAGCAAUAUGACCCAAAACUUGCCUGUCUUUUAAAAGUAAGCAUAUCCCAUUCUGCUUUAAUUGGAAGCCUACAUGAAACUGGGAUAUACAGGACAAAGUUGCUCCCUAUAUGAUAGCACUUUAGUCAUCUUUAGUAUAAUUUAAUCAUUCUUGCAUGCAAAAUAUAUGAGCAAUUGCUGGAGCAAAUAGCAGAACCCAGGAUUGGGCUGGUGAUCCGAUAUCACAGCUCGAGUUCUGUAUUCCUGCAUUUCUAAGUGAAGACUGUGACUGCUGUACCUUGAACUGAGCUAAUAUUAGUUGGAAUUGUGGAGAUGGUGAUCGUAAUGUAACUUCUUUAAUCUGGGCCCAUCAGUCACUGGUAUGCAUGUGUGUGAAAUGAAAAAUGUGGGUACCAAGUCUCUUACGUUAGCUGAGUGUGUUUAAGAGGUGCAGUAGCUGUAUUUCUGGCUCCUAAACUACUUUUCAUUGGAGAAAACCUGGCAACAUAAGGAUGCUCAUGGGCUUUUCCCCCUCAGCUAGUAUUUUCCGUGUCUCUGGGGUAUGAGUGUUUGUUUUGAAUUUUGAGAGUUUUGGUAGAUCUCAUAUUUCAUUCCUCUGUGCUUCAGUUCCUCAAGGACUAAUUGCAAACAGCAGCAGGUCCUUAUCCUGUAGCAGUACUGUGAGAACAAAUUAAAUAAAAUUGUUUUGAAGCACUGAGAGGCUUUGGAAAUUUGAGGACAUUUUCACUACUAGCAAUUACUUUAUGGAAUUGAGGUAGAAAGCUACAUUUUGCAUAUUUCAGGCUAUAUAAAACACGGAAAUACACAAAAGUUAAGCUAUAUAUUUAGGGUAUAAAAUAAUGCUUGUGUUGGCCUUCUUUCCAUAAAUUUUUACUGUUUGAAAAUCCCUUCUCACAGAAAGCCCCAGGCCCCUCAAGAAAAGUUUUAAAAUAAAAAAAAGAGUAUAGUUUAACCUUGAAAAAAAUUUUGUGAAAUGGAGACAAAGCACCACUAAAACCCAAAGAAUGGGGAUGAAAAAGCUACAAAACCACUUCAGUCUGGUGAGAUAAAAUGUUGAAGCAACCUAAGAUUAACUUCUCCACUUUUCAGGUUAUUAACUCUGUCUCAUGAGAAGUUGCCCACCUAACUGGAAUAGCGAAGUUUGUUCUGGUACAGUAAAUUGUUUGCUAGGGAAUUUUCUGAUUACUGAGUUAUUUUUGUAUUAAAUGCUUUUCUCACCUACAUACCGUGCACAGGUAUGUAUGUGCAAACACACAAGCAUACACACACAGACAUCACUUGGUGUCUUCUAAUUAUAAAUAGAUGAAUAAUCCUCUUAAAUGCUGUCCUGGUUUUGUUAAAAACCAAGUUUCUCUUUUAGUGAAUUUGCCUGUCAGCUAAAGCUUUCAUUUUAGCUGCAUUUUCCUGGAGAACCAGACACAUGUUUUGGUAAACCUAGCAAUGGAAUGUUAACUUAUUGAUAAGGACAGAUUCACAUCUUGCCAGAGGGGUAACAAGAAACAGGUGACCAAGAAACUGACCAACUGUGUAUAACAUUCCAUUCACGUGAAUACUUCAUAUAAAAGCGGGAGAUCACGAGGAUCUCGUCCUCUUUGCCCUUCUUCAUCCCUUCUGCUUAUGGCUGAUAUUAGGAGAGGACCUUGCUAGUCAUCCCUGUGAACUGAGGCCUAGUGAGAGACUGAAUCCAGUUCCGAUUGGCUGCAGAGUCCAAUCCAGGACUUCGGGUGCUGGCUCUGCAGUUGCUGAGACUUUCAAGAUUGGUUUUGUAUAUUUUGUAUUAUUUUCUCUAUUCGUAUUAGUAGUAUUAGUAAAACAUUUUUAAUUUUUCCACCUCUCUUCUCUCUGUCCUCCUUUCCCUCCUGAUUGCCUGUCCUGAGUGGGAAGGGGGGAGGGGAGGGCCUGAAGAGGGAAGUGGAGGGGAGAGGAGGUUAACAAUACAUCUGCCAGGAUUUUAUUGUCGCCCCGCAAUCUAAAUCCUGGACAAAUGCAAAAAUGAAAGCAAUCUGAUAGGAACGUGAACUGUUUUCCAUAUAUACUAAUGUUUAAUCUCUCUUUUUUGCAUAACAAAGGAGUUCACAUUUACAGGACUGAAGCCUGACUAAGGUGUGGAUUCUACUUUUCCUGUGCAGAAGAGCUGAUUGAACACAGAGCAAGUGAAAGGGAUGAAAACUUUAGAAAUACAUGACUCUAGAAAUGUAGCACCACGUUAUUAGCUGUUUUAGCUGCAGUUCUCUCAGUGGAGCUGCAUCCAUUUACCCCAGUCAAGUCCCAGACCCAGUCUCACUUCCACUGCUGCUCUUUGAAUCCAUGCCAGGGCGAGGUAUAACUUAAACCAGAAACAGAUGUGCAUAACUAUAGCUGAGCUGCAGAAUAUAUAUAUGUAGGCUCCAAAUGUGUUAAUUUUCCAUGUAUUUGUAACAGAGAUGCUGAAAUAACUUUAAAAUCUUGUAGCUAAUGGACCCUGAAUGCUGAGAAAGGCUUCUCUUUUGUUUGCUGCAAAUUAUCUUUUAUUUCCGCCUUCCCCAUUUAGAUUCCACUACAUUUAUUUUGAACUGUUUUCAGCCUUUUCUGCUAAGCAUCAUGGGAGCCCACGCUUAAGUGAUUGCAAAUGUUUCUGUGGUAAUCAUUUCCAUUAGAGACGCCAGCUGGAUCGUUCCCCGUUAACUAGCUAAAACUUCUGUCCGCUGCUUUUCAAAAAAUAAAAACACAGUGAGGUAAAUAUUUUUCAUUUGUAUAAAUAGGGUCCUGAAAAUGUUGAGUGCAGGUAUAUAGGAAUGAGUAAAGUGAUCAUUCCUUGAAGCAGAGGCGUGCCAUAGUAAAGAUUCUUUUUCAGUGCACUGUGGUUUGGGAAGGCAGACCAAAAGAAAAAUGAGAGGUUUCCAGAAAAAACAGAGUAAUGGGCCAAACUAAGCAAAAUACUUAAAGCGAGCAAAGCAAGGCAAGAGUCCGUUAACAGUUCGUAGCAAGAGACUGUAUUUUCUUUUCCAACCUUCUACCCCAGGAACUUUGUCUUAACAUCAAACAAAAACCACAAUAGGAAUAAACAGAUUGCUGGGGAUGCAUUGGUUGUGCGAAGAAUAGGUUACUGCAAAGCUAAAAUCAUGUCUGUCUUUAGAUGCCAUUUAAUUUUUUAUGGAUUAACUUACAAAUCAGGACUAGAUCACUGUACAUUGUCUUGCCUUAACUGGGUGACCUGAUGAGGUGUUUAGCCUGUUUAUUAAAGUACUAGCAGAUUUAUUUAUUUGUUUAUUUACUUAUUUAUUUAUUUUAAAUGAAAGAACCUUUCAUUAAUAAGAAGGGGUGCAGUUGCAUUUAUCCUUUGAAUUGCAGGAGUGAGAAGAAUGUUUAGGAAGAUUCAGAGGUUCUCAUUUUGUUUUUUUUUCCUGUGAUAUUUGUGCAGUCUGAAAUGAAGGUGGAGAAAGAGAGUUCAGUGUUACCACUGCAAGAAUUUCCAUGUCUGUAUUUCCCGCUGAGUAAGUUCUCACAGUCCACAGUGGCGUCUGCAGUUUUAAUACUGAAAUGUUGAGGGGCAUAUCUGUCAACUUGCUCCUUCUUCCUUUUCUCUUCACCAUUACGGAACAGUUCUGCACGGAAUGUCACAUAGACUAAGCUUGUGACCGAGAUUUGCAGUCUCUGAAUUUACUGACUGAUCUUUUAAGUUGAAAUUCGCUCCCUGGGCAGGGUACCAGCACAGGAACCGUCUUGCCACGUAUGUCCCAUGUCCGUGUGGAUAAUAGGAAUGUGAAGAAGUUGUGUUGGCUCCCUGUGCCUGUGGGAGUGUAAAAAUGUCAUUGGUGGUUUGCAGAGUGGUUUUGCAUCAGCAAAAAGCAUUAAUCUCUCCAUUCUUAUUGCAAAAGAAAAAGGGAAUACCUCUGAGUUUCAGAAAAAUCACCUGAAGAGUGUACCGUUCUGCAGAGGUGACAUGUAGAGGGAGGGUGUGUUGUGGGAAGGCUGAGAUAUUUCUGUAUUCCCGAUUCUUGCUGGACUGUUCAAAGCAACAGCUAAUAAGAUAGACUGAAUAUCUUCCCAACAAAAAUGCCCUACUGCACUUCAAUAGGCCUUACUGGUGACCAACCUCACCCUGGGGCCUUCACCCUGACCCGUGGACCCGGGAGCCCCAUUUCAGCUCAAUGUGGGGCCAUCAGUACCUCCAUGGGUUAAGUUGCAGGCUUACAGGCUCCAGCCCUGUUUCUGGCCCUUCCUCCUGGCUAGACCUGGGGCCUGUGCAGUGGGUAACUCAUGUCUUGCAUAGACUUCAGACCCACAAUUGUAGCCUUGUCUCCAGCCUGUCUCCCGUCGCUUAUGACUGGACUCCCCAGAAGGACCCUGGACCUGAUUCCAUUAUGCUGAGUCCCCAACCCUUGGUGGACCCUGUUACCAGCACCUGGCUCUGCCUGUUGUAUUGCUGUCAUCCCCUCCAACCCUUACGGAAACUGUUACCAGACAAGCUUUAAAAUAUUUCUAAUUUAUAUUUGAAUGUGGAAGAAAAAAAGUGGCAGGUUUGUGGGAGGUUCCAGGCUGGAACCCAGGAGAGUUAUCAUAUUGUGAUAUCUUAAAAUAUUUCACUUUAGUUGGCUUAGAGAGAGAGGAGAUUUCUGUAAGCAGAAAAAGUGGUCAUAACUUCUCUAGGGAAAGAAAAAUUAAUUUGCUGAGGUACUGCAUCUCAUAUGGGAUCUAGAAAUGAACGAAUACAUAUGAAAGUCUCCUGUGGUAUCCUGCAUUGGAAAGAAACCAUCCUUUAUGUCAUGGUGAAAUCCAACACUGUGCAACUGUGUUCUUAUUAGUUAAAUGGGGCUGUAUUUCUGCCUGUUAUGGAAGUUGUGUCAUUCCGUUACACAUAUCCCUGUGUUUUGUGCAGUUAACUUCAGUAUCCUACUUCAGUGAGAAGUACAGAAAGUCCUAAAGAAAAUAAGUACUUUAGAAGAGUGUCAUUACACCUAUUUAUCACCCUGCUAAUUUCUAGGUUAUUUUGAAAUCAUUGGAAAAAAUCACAAAUGCAAGAAGUAAUUAUUUUUUUUUUGAAAAUGGUUACUGAUUUGUUUUCUCAGCAUGCAUUCUGGCUGGUCAUCAGUUGUUUUAAAACUGACAUGAUAAAUAAGUUAAAGAAAAUGGUGUUUGGGUGACUUAAUCUUCCCUAUCAAC
Molecule: long non-coding RNA, 8367 nt
Organism: Columba livia (rock pigeon)
Lineage: Eukaryota; Metazoa; Chordata; Aves; Columbiformes; Columbidae
Exons: 3
Source: RefSeq, a predicted model, not a curated record